UACGUAGGGUGCAAGCGUUGUCCGGAAUUAUUGGGCGUAAAGAGCUCGUAGGCGGUUCGUCACGUCGGCUGUGAAAUCCCGAGGCUCAACCUCGGGUCUGCAGUCGAUACGGGCGGACUGGAGUACUGCAGGGGAGACUGGAAUUCCUGGUGUAGCGGUGAAAUGCGUAGAUAUCGGGAGGAAUACCGAUGGCGAAGGCAGCCCCCUGGCCAAUACUGACGCUCAGGCACGAAAGGCGUGGGGAGCAAACGAGGAUUAGAAACCCGGAUAGACCCA
This 276-nucleotide ribosomal RNA is filed under the name uncultured bacterium. Its description in RNAcentral is "partial 16S ribosomal RNA". It matches the Rfam family "Bacterial small subunit ribosomal RNA", at positions 524 to 797 of the family's 1533-position model. The record is from RNAcentral.